This 332-nucleotide ribosomal RNA is filed under the name uncultured bacterium. Its description in RNAcentral is "bacterial SSU rRNA". It matches the Rfam family "Bacterial small subunit ribosomal RNA", at positions 568 to 898 of the family's 1533-position model. The record is from RNAcentral.
CGUGUAGGCGGUCGGGCAAGUCAGAUGUGAAAGCCUUCCGCUCAACGGAAGAAGUGCAUUUGAAACUACCCGGCUGGAGUACGGGAGAGGAGAGUGGAAUUCCCGGCGUAGAGGUGAAAUUCGUAGAUAUCGGGAGGAACACCGGUGGCGAAGGCGGCUCUCUGGUCCGAUACUGACGCUGAGACGCGAAAGCGUGGGGAGCAAACAGGAUUAGAUACCCUGGUAGUCCACGCCGUAAACGAUGGGCACUAGGUGUAGGAGGUAUUGACCCCUUCUGUGCCGAAGCUAACGCAUUAAGUGCCCCGCCUGGGGAGUACGGCCGCAAGGCUAAA